AAAAGUUCUUCGGUUUGUGUUUUUAUACUUUAAAUGUGUGCUUAUCUUAUGGUAUAUGUCAUGGUGAUUUUAGUAAUGUAUUUGAAGAUUUGAAAGCCAUAUGUGUAUUUAAUAAUUUCGUUUGUACACGAAACAAACUUCUUCGACACUUCCAUCAAAAGUCAAUAACUGAAAAUGGUCAAAAGUCAGAAGCUGAGAAAAUUCUUUAACUUUGUCAACUUCAUGCAUGAACAUCCCUAAAUCUAAACGACUACACGAGCAAAAGACUCGAUGAAUAAUUUAUAUUCGACUAGAAUCAAGGAUUUGACAAACACCUGCAAGACUAUUCUACAUAUAAAGUGUCUGCAUCUGCAUCCUGUUAAAUGCAUAGUCAAGUGUCAAGUGAAGAGAACUGCACAUUCCAGUGAUCUAGAAACAGCUAUAAUGAAGAUAUUCCAAGCCAGACAAGCCAAAAGUCUUUCAAAGAGUGGAAGAUGUGUAGCAACUUCUGGCAACUCUACCUACGUAUAAAACAAUUAUUGACGGGCAGAUGGCCCAGUGGUUAAGGUGGCGACCUAACACUCGGUGUUUUUCCUCAGGACAUGUCAUACAACGGGCCCUCGAUCCUCAUCAUUGUAGGCCUGGCCGAACCCAUAAUGGUCUUGCUUUAAAAAAUGCUCUUUUAGUGCCCGCUGGAUAGUUAAAAAAUUCUUUCUCUCGAGUCUCUCAAAAACAAAAUUAAUUUUAAAACACACUAAUCGCGAAUUAUAUGUCAAUUAAAGUUAGUCUAAGUUCAAUUCUCGUUGCGAUUUUUAAAUAUUUGAACUCUAACAAUAAGUAAAUGAAUUAUCAAACUACAAUUAAACUUCUAGUUAAGUGCCAUCAUCUGCUUGCCUCUAAAAAUGGAAUUAAAUCGAAUGUGGCAUUAAUAAAGCACGUUUAAUGAAAAAAAAUUAGAGUUAAAUUACGUAUUUCGAUGAUAAAUUUCCUUUCGACUUUAUUAUAAACCAUUUGAUCCCA
Molecule: long non-coding RNA, 999 nt
Organism: Centruroides sculpturatus (bark scorpion)
Lineage: Eukaryota; Metazoa; Arthropoda; Arachnida; Scorpiones; Buthidae
Exons: 4
Source: RefSeq, a predicted model, not a curated record